UACGAAGGGGGCUAGCGUUGUUCGGAAUUACUGGGCGUAAAGGGCGCGUAGGCGGUACUUCAAGUCAGGCGUGAAAGCCCCGGGCUCAACCUGGGAACCGCGCUUGAGACUGGAGAACUAGAGUUCGGGAGAGGAUGGUGGAAUUCCCAGUGUAGAGGUGAAAUUCGUAGAUAUUAGGAAGAACACCAGUGGCGAAGGCGGCUCACUGGCCCGGUACUGACGCUGAGGCGCGAAAGCGUGGGGAGCAAACAGG
Molecule: ribosomal RNA, 253 nt
Filed under: uncultured bacterium
Lineage: Bacteria
Description: partial 16S ribosomal RNA
Rfam family: Bacterial small subunit ribosomal RNA
Source: RNAcentral